GGAUCGGGUAUUGAGUCCAUGGAGCGAGCUGAGAGCUAGAGUACAGAACCUGCUAAGGCCAUCAAACCUAUCGAUCGGAAGUCAGUCCAUCAGAUUUGCUCUGGGCCGGUGGUACUGAGUCUAAGCACUGCGGUGAAGGAGUUAGUAGAAAACAGUCUGGAUGCUGGUGCCACCAAUAUUGAUCUAAAGCUUAAGGACUAUGGAGUGGAUCUCAUUGAAGUUUCAGACAAUGGAUGUGGGGUAGAAGAAGAAAACUUUGAAGGCUUAACGAUGUCACCAUUUCUACCUGCCACGCAUCGGCGAAGGUUGGGACUCGACUGGUGUUUGAUCACGAUGGGAAAAUCAUCCAGAAAACCCCCUACCCCCACCCCAGAGGGACCACAGUCAGCGUGAAGCAGUUAUUUUCUACACUACCUGUGCACCAUAAGGAAUUUCAAAGGAAUAUUAAGAAGACGUGCCUGUUUCCCCUUCGCCUUCUGCCGUGAUUGUCAGUUUCCUGAGGCCUCCCCAGCCAUGCUUCCUGUACAGCCUGCAGAACUGGACCAUUGCAAGCUGCAGAAAAUGAGAAGACCCUACUGACCAGCCCAAGAAGACAGAUGACAAGAUACUGAGACACUAGUAUAAGAAUACAGAGGCCAUGACUGGAAAAUGACAAGAUCUGCAUACUCCGAGAUCAACAA
Long non-coding RNA from Homo sapiens (human), 680 nucleotides. Ensembl annotates it as PMS1 homolog 2, mismatch repair system component pseudogene 4. Its record names the gene PMS2P4. The record is from Ensembl. Lineage: Eukaryota; Metazoa; Chordata; Mammalia; Primates; Hominidae.